GCCAUGACAUUUGUCACCCCAUUGAUUACCAGGGUUGAUUUGAUUUACCUGGCUGGCUAGGUGGGUGUCCC
RNAcentral lists this small RNA (71 nucleotides) under Notechis scutatus (mainland tiger snake). RNAcentral describes it as "7SK RNA (ENSNSUG00000001001.1)". It matches the Rfam family "7SK RNA", at positions 19 to 89 of the family's 331-position model. Rfam says of the family: 7SK was discovered as an abundant small nuclear RNA in the mid-70s but a possible function has only recently been suggested. Two independent studies have found that 7SK RNA binds the CDK9/cyclin T complex (known as elongation factor P-TEFb). The record is from RNAcentral. Lineage: Eukaryota; Metazoa; Chordata; Lepidosauria; Squamata; Elapidae.